AGCUAAUAGAUACCCUGGUAGUCCACGCCCUAAACGAUGUCGACUGGUUGUUGGGGGUUUGACACUCCCAGUAAACGAAAGCUAAACGCGUGAAGUCGACCGCCUGGGGAGUACGGCCGCAAGGUUAAAACUCAAAGGAAUUGACGGGGACCCGCACAAGCGGUGGAUUAUGUGGAUUAAUUCGAUGCAACGCGAAAAACCUUACCUACCCUUGACAUGUCCGGAAGGCUGCUGAAAGGCGGCUGUGCCCGAAAGGGAACUGGAACACAGGUGCUGCAUGGCUGUCGUCAGCUCGUGUCGUGAGAUGUUGGGUUAAGUCCCGCAACGAGCGCAACCCUUGUCAUUAGUUGCUACAUUCAGUUGGGCACUCUAAUGAGACUGCCGGUGACAAACCGGAGGAAGGUGGGGAUGACGUCAAGUCCUCAUGGCCCUUAUGGGUAGGGCUUCACACGUAAUACAAUGGCGCGUACAGAGGGCUGCUAAGCCGCAAGGUAGAGCCAAUCCCUUAAAGCGCGUCGUAGUCCGGAUUGCAGUCUGCAACUCG
RNAcentral lists this ribosomal RNA (544 nucleotides) under uncultured bacterium. RNAcentral's name for it is "bacterial SSU rRNA". It matches the Rfam family "Bacterial small subunit ribosomal RNA", at positions 767 to 1314 of the family's 1533-position model. The record is from RNAcentral.